UGGCUCAGAGCGAACGCUGGCGGCAGGCCUAAUACAUGCAAGUCGAGCGGGUCCUUCGGGAUUAGCGGCGGACGGGUGAGUAACGCGUGGGAACGUGCCCUUUGGUACGGAACAACUGAGGGAUACUUCAGCUAAUACCGUAUGUGCCCUUCGGGGGAAAGAUUUAUCGCCAUUGGAGCGGCCCGCGUUGGAUUAGGUAGUUGGUGAGGUAAAGGCUCACCAAGCCUACGAUCCAUAGCUGGUCUGAGAGGAUGACCAGCCACACUGGGACUGAGACACGGCCCAGACCCCUACGGGAGGCAGCAGUAGGGAAUCUUGCGCAAUGGGCGAAAGCCUGACGCAGCCAUGCCGCGUGAAUGACGAAGGUCUUAGGAUUGUAAAAUUCUUUCACCGGGGACGAUAAUGACGGUACCCGGAGAAGAAGCCCCGGCUAACUUCGUG
Molecule: ribosomal RNA, 441 nt
Filed under: uncultured bacterium
Lineage: Bacteria
Description: bacterial SSU rRNA
Rfam family: Bacterial small subunit ribosomal RNA
Source: RNAcentral